AUUGAACGCUGGCGGCAGGCUUAACACAUGCAAGUCGAGCGGGGUGAUGGUGCUUGCACUAUCACUUAGCGGCGGACGGGUGAGUAAUGCUUAGGAAUCUGCCUAUUAGUGGGGGACAACAUCUCGAAAGGGAUGCUAAUACCGCAUACGUCCUACGGGAGAAAGCAGGGGAUCACUUGUGGCUUUGCGCUAAUAGAUGAGCCUAAGUCGGAUUAGCUAGUUGGUGGGGUAAAGGCCUACCAAGGCGACGAUCUGUAGCGGGUCUGAGAGGAUGAUCCGCCACACUGGGACUGAGACACGGCCCAGACUCCUACGGGAGGCAGCAGUGGGGAAUAUUGGACAAUGGGGGGAACCCUGAUCCAGCCAUGCCGCGUGUGUGAAGAAGGCCUUAUGGUUGUAAAGCACUUUAAGCGAGGAGGAGGCUCUUUUGGUUAAUACCCAAGAUGAGUGGACGUUACUCGCAGAAUAAGCACCGGCUAACUCUGUGCCAGCAGCCGCCGUAA
This 503-nucleotide ribosomal RNA is filed under the name uncultured bacterium. RNAcentral's name for it is "partial 16S ribosomal RNA". It matches the Rfam family "Bacterial small subunit ribosomal RNA", at positions 30 to 523 of the family's 1533-position model. The record is from RNAcentral.